GCAUGCCUAACACAUGCAAGUCGAACGGCAGCACAGUGGUAGCAAUACCAUGGGUGGCGAGUGGCGGACGGGUGAGUAAUGCAUCGGGACCUACCUGAACGUGGGGGAUAACGUAGGGAAACUUACGCUAAUACCGCAUACGUCCUACGGGAGAAAGCGGGGGAUCUUCGGACCUCGCGCGGUCAGACGGACCGAUGUUCGAUUAGCUAGUUGGUAGGGUAAUGGCCUACCAAGGCGACGAUCGAUAGCUGGUCUGAGAGGAUGAUCAGCCACACUGGAACUGAGACACGGUCCAGACUCCUACGGGAGGCAGCAGUGGGGAAUAUUGGACAAUGGGCGCAAGCCUGAUCCAGCAAUGCCGCGUGUGUGAAGAAGGCCUUCGGGUUGUAAAGCACUUUUAUCGGGAGCGAAAUACUAUCGGUUAAUAACCGGUGGGGCUGACGGUACCCGAGGAAUAAGCACCGGCUAACUUCGUGCCAGCAGCCGCGGUAAUAC
This 495-nucleotide ribosomal RNA is filed under the name uncultured Gammaproteobacteria bacterium. Its description in RNAcentral is "bacterial SSU rRNA". It matches the Rfam family "Bacterial small subunit ribosomal RNA", at positions 42 to 526 of the family's 1533-position model. The record is from RNAcentral. Lineage: Bacteria; Pseudomonadati; Pseudomonadota; Gammaproteobacteria.